This 253-nucleotide ribosomal RNA is filed under the name uncultured bacterium. Its description in RNAcentral is "partial 16S ribosomal RNA". It matches the Rfam family "Bacterial small subunit ribosomal RNA", at positions 524 to 776 of the family's 1533-position model. The record is from RNAcentral.
UACGAAGGGUGCAAGCGUUACUCGGAAUUACUGGGCGUAAAGCGUGCGUAGGCGGUUUGUUAAGUCUGUCGUGAAAGCCCCGGGCUCAACCUGGGAAUGGCGAUGGAAACUGGCGAGCUAGAGUACGGUAGAGGAGAGUGGAAUUCCCGGUGUAGCAGUGAAAUGCGUAGAGAUCGGGAGGAACAUCAGUUGCGAAGGCGGCUCUCUGGACAGUUCCUGACACUGAGGCACGAAGGCCAGGGGAGCAAACGGG